UACUGCUAUCGGGGUCCGACUAAGCCAUGCGAGUUGAAUGUCCGAAAGGGCAUAGCGCACUGCUCAGUAACACGUGGACAACCUGCCCUGAGGACUGGAAUAAUCCCGGGAAACUGGGGGUAAUUCCAGAUAUGUCAGAACUCCUGGAAUGGGUUCUGGCAGAAAGGCUCCGGCGCCUCAGGAUGGGUCUGCGGCCUAUCAGGGUAGUAGUGGGUGUAACGUACCUACUAGCCUACGACGGGUACGGGUUGUGAGGGCAAGAGCCCGGAGAUGGAUUCUGAGACAUGAAUCCAGGCCCUACGGGGUGCAGCAGGCGCGAAAACUUUACAAUGCGGGCAACCGCGAUAAGGGGACCUCGAGUGCUGGGUUACAAACCUGGCUGUUGGGCUGCCUAAAAAGCAGUCUAUAGCAAGGGCCGGGCAAGACCGGUGCCAGCCGCCGCGGUAACACCGGCGGCUCGAGUGGUAACCGCUAUUAUUGGGUCUAAAGGGUCUGUAGCCGGCCGACUAAGUCUCUUGGGAAAUCUGGCAUCUCAAGUGUCAGGCUGCC
RNAcentral lists this ribosomal RNA (549 nucleotides) under uncultured archaeon. RNAcentral's name for it is "bacterial SSU rRNA". It matches the Rfam family "Archaeal small subunit ribosomal RNA", at positions 25 to 575 of the family's 1478-position model. The record is from RNAcentral.